This 458-nucleotide ribosomal RNA is filed under the name uncultured bacterium. RNAcentral's name for it is "partial 16S ribosomal RNA". It matches the Rfam family "Bacterial small subunit ribosomal RNA", at positions 338 to 795 of the family's 1533-position model. The record is from RNAcentral.
CCUACGGGAGGCAGCAGUGAGGAAUAUUGGUCAAUGGCCGGAAGGCUGAACCAGCCAUGCCGCGUGAAGGUCAGUGCCCUAUGGGCGGUAAACUUCUUUUGUGCGGGAGCAAUAAUGGUCACGUGUGGCCAGCCGAGAGUACCGUACGAAUAAGCAUCGGCUAACUCUGUGCCAGCAGCCGCGGUAAUACGGGGGAUGCAAGCGUUAUCCGGAUUUAUUGGGUUUAAAGGGUGCGUAGGCGUUGAGGUAAGUCAGCGGGAAAAUGUCGGGGCUCAACCCCGGCCGGCCGUUGAAACUGGUUUUCGAGAGUUGGAGAGAAGUAUGCGGAAUUCGUGGUGUAGCGGUGGAAUGCAUAGAUAUCACGAAGAACUCCGAUUGCGAAGGCAGCAUACCGGCUCCAUACUGACGCUGAGGCACGAAAGCGUGGGGAUCGAACAGGAUUAGAUACCCCGGUAGUC